UACGGAAGGCAGCAGUGGGGAAUAUUGCACAAUGGGCGCAAGCCUGAUGCAGCCAUGCCGCGUGUAUGAAGAAGGCCUUCGGGUUGUAAAGUACUUUCAGUCGUGAGGAAGGUGUUAAGGUUAAUAACCUUAGCAAUUGACGUUAGCGACAGAAGAAGCACCGGCUAACUCCGUGCCAGCAGCCGCGGCAAUACGGAGGGUGCGAGCGUUAAUCGGAAUUACUGGGCGUAAAGGGCACGCAGGCGGUUAAUUAAGUUGGAUGUGAAAUCCCCGGGCUUAACCUGGGAAUGGCAUUCAAGACUGGUUAGCUAGAGUCUUGUAGAGGGGGUAGAAUUCCAUGUGUAGCGGUGAAAUGCGUAGAGAUGUGGAGGAAUACCGGUGGCGAAGGCGGCCCCUGGGACAAAGACUGACGCUCAUGUGCGAAAGCGUGGGGAGCAAACAGGGAUUAGGAUACC
Molecule: ribosomal RNA, 455 nt
Filed under: uncultured bacterium
Lineage: Bacteria
Description: bacterial SSU rRNA
Rfam family: Bacterial small subunit ribosomal RNA
Source: RNAcentral